RNAcentral lists this ribosomal RNA (380 nucleotides) under uncultured bacterium. Its description in RNAcentral is "bacterial SSU rRNA". It matches the Rfam family "Bacterial small subunit ribosomal RNA", at positions 29 to 400 of the family's 1533-position model. The record is from RNAcentral.
AACGAACGCUGGCGGCGCGCUUAACACAUGCAAGUCGAACGAGAAGGCGUAGCAAUACGCUUGUACAGUGGCGAACGGGUGAGUAAUACGUGGGCGACCUACCCUCGAGUGGGGAAUAACCCGCCGAAAGGCGGGCUAAUGCCGCGUACGCUUCCAUCUUUAUGGAGGUGGAAGGAAAGCCGUGCCGUGGGCACGGCGCUCAAGGAUGGGCUCACGUCCUAUCAGCUUGUUGGAGGGUUACGGCCUACCAAGGCUCCGACGGGUAGCUGGUCUGAGAGGACGAUCAGCCACACUGGCACUGCGACACGGGCCAGACUCCUACGGGAGGCAGCAGUGAGGAAUAUUGCGCAAUGGGCGAAAGCCUGACGCAGCGACGCCGC